GUCUAUAUGAAGGUGUAUAUAGUUUGGCCUGCUCACUGAUUAAAUUAAAGAGCCGCAGUAUUUUGACUGUGCGAAGGUAGCAUAAUAAAUUGUCUUUUAAAUAAAGGCUUGAAUGAAAGGUUGGACAAAGUAUCAUCUGUUUCUUAAAUAUUUAUUGAAUUUGACUUUUAAGUGAAAAGGCUUAAAUAAAUCAAAAAGACGAUAAGACCCUAUAAAUCUUUACAAUAAAUAUAUUUUAUAUUUUAGCUUAUAAGUGUAUAAGAAAUAAAAAUAUAGGUUUGUUGCGCUGGGGCGGCGUAGAUAUAUAAAUAAACUGUCUAUAAUUUAAAUACAAUAAUCAUUGCUUAAUACAAAUUGAUCCUUAAAUAGAUUAAAAGAUUAAGAUACUUUAGGGAUAACAGCGUUAUUUUUUUUGAGAGUUCUUAUCGAAGAAAAAGUUUGCGACCUCGAUGUUGAAUUAAAGUAUCUCUAUGGUGUAGCCGCUAUAAGAGAGAGUCUGUUCGACUUUUAAUACUUU
This 517-nucleotide ribosomal RNA is filed under the name Lithodes aequispinus. RNAcentral's name for it is "partial 16S rRNA". It matches the Rfam family "Bacterial large subunit ribosomal RNA", at positions 1831 to 2597 of the family's 2925-position model. Lineage: Eukaryota; Metazoa; Arthropoda; Malacostraca; Decapoda; Lithodidae. The record is from RNAcentral.